CCUACGGGAGGCAGCAGUGGGGAAUAUUGCACAAUGGGGGAAACCCUGAUGCAGCGACGCCGCGUGAGUGAAGAAGUAUUUCGGUAUGUAAAGCUCUAUCAGCAGGGAAGAAAAUGACGGUACCUGAGUAAGAAGCCCCGGCUAACUACGUGCCAGCAGCCGCGGUAAUACGUAGGGGGCAAGCGUUAUCCGGAUUGACUGGGUGUAAAGGGAGCGUAGACGGCAGCGCAAGUCUGAAGUUAAUGCCGGGGCUUAACCCCGGAACUGCUUUUGAAACUGUGCAGCUAGAGUGCAGGAGAGGUAAGUGGAAUUCCUAGUGUAGCGGUGAAAUGCGUAGAUAUUAGGCGGACCCCCAGUGGCGAAGGCGGCUUACUGGACUGUACCUGACGUUGAGGCUCGAAAGCGUGGGGAGCACACAGGAUUAGAUACCCGAGUAGUC
Molecule: ribosomal RNA, 439 nt
Filed under: uncultured bacterium
Lineage: Bacteria
Description: partial 16S ribosomal RNA
Rfam family: Bacterial small subunit ribosomal RNA
Source: RNAcentral